UACGUAGGGGGCAAGCGUUGUCCGGAUUUAUUGGGCGUAAAGAGCGUGUAGGCGGCCAGGUAGGUCUGCUGUGAAAACUCGAGGCUUAACCUCGAGCUGUCGGCGGAAACCAUCUGGCUAGAGUCCGGAAGAGGAGAAUGGAAUUCCCGGUGUAGCGGUGAAAUGCGCAGAUAUCGGGAAGAACACCCGUGGCGAAAGCGGCGCACUGGACCACUUCUGACGCUGAGGCGCGAAAGCUAGGGGAGCAAACAGG
Molecule: ribosomal RNA, 253 nt
Filed under: uncultured bacterium
Lineage: Bacteria
Description: partial 16S ribosomal RNA
Rfam family: Bacterial small subunit ribosomal RNA
Source: RNAcentral